AAAUGAUGUUAAUUCUUCUGAUGAUGAACCUGCGGGGAGGAGGGAUCCAAGUGACAGUGAAGAUGCACAUACUGAGCAGAAGAAACUUGAGAUUGAAUUGAGGAAGAAGGCUCUUGAAUCACUUAAAGCAAAGAAGGGCAUUAGUCACUAAUUUAUUGCUGUCGUGAACAUUACUGUUUUAUUCUAGUUAAGCUGUUUUUUAUAUAUUUGCUAGGAACUUUGUUUUGAAUGGGAGUUCUUUUAUAUUGGUAACUGUUUAAUGUAGCCUGUUUGCUGCUGGCAGCUGAAAUGGAUAAAUGAGGGUUUCCUGAGCUAUUCUCUUAAGUGCAACUUUAUGCAGAUCUUGCUGCUAUAUUUUCUG
Molecule: unclassified non-coding RNA, 361 nt
Filed under: Hevea brasiliensis (rubber tree)
Lineage: Eukaryota; Viridiplantae; Streptophyta; Magnoliopsida; Malpighiales; Euphorbiaceae
Source: RNAcentral